RNAcentral lists this ribosomal RNA (376 nucleotides) under uncultured bacterium. RNAcentral describes it as "bacterial SSU rRNA". It matches the Rfam family "Bacterial small subunit ribosomal RNA", at positions 28 to 406 of the family's 1533-position model. The record is from RNAcentral.
GACGAACGCUGGCGGCGUGCUUAACACAUGCAAGUCGAGCGGUAAGGCCCUUUCGGGGGUACACGAGCGGCGAACGGGUGAGUAACACGUGGGUGACCUGCCCUCAGCUCUGGGAUAAGCCUGGGAAACCGGGUCUAAUACUGGAUAUGACUCCAUGACGCAUGUUGUGGGGUGGAAAGCCUUGUGCGGCUGAGGAUGGGCCCGCGGCCUAUCAGCUUGUUGGUGGGGUGAGGCCUACCAAGGCGACGACGGGUAGCCAGCCUGAGAGGGCGACCGGCCACACUGGGACUGAGACACGGCCCAGACUCCUACGGGAGGCAGCAGUGGGGAAUAUUGGACAAUGGGCGCAAGCCUGAUCCAGCCAUGCCGCGUGAGU